GAUCUGGCUCAGGAUGAACGCUGGCGGCGUGCUUAACACAUGCAAGUCGAACGAGAGAAGAUUGGUGCUUGCACUGAUCCGAUCGAGUGGCGGACGGGUGAGUAACGCGUGGGUAACCUGCCUCAUACAGGGGAAUAACAGUUGGAAACGGCUGCUAAAACCGCAUAAGCGCACGGUAUCGCAUGAUACAGUGUGAAAAACUCCGGUGGUAUGAGAUGGACCCGCGU
Molecule: ribosomal RNA, 227 nt
Filed under: uncultured bacterium
Lineage: Bacteria
Description: partial 16S ribosomal RNA
Rfam family: Bacterial small subunit ribosomal RNA
Source: RNAcentral